RNAcentral lists this ribosomal RNA (292 nucleotides) under uncultured bacterium. Its description in RNAcentral is "partial 16S ribosomal RNA". The record is from RNAcentral.
GGACUACCGGGGUAUCUAAUCCCGUUCGCUCCCCUCGCUUUCGCACCUCAGCGUCAGUCACCCCCCAGGACACUGCCUUCGCCUUUGGUAUUCCUCCGGAUCUCUACGCAUUUCACCACUCCACCCGGAAUUCUGUGUCCCUCUGAGGUCCUCCAGUCCGCCCGUUUUCAAGACCCUCGCGCGGUUAAGCCGCGCGCUGUCACCUCAAACCUGGCGGACCGCCUACGUGCCCUUUACGCCCAGUAACUCCGGACAACGCUCGCCCCCUACGUCUUACCGCGGCUGCUGGCAC